AGCAGCCGCGGUAAUUCCAGCUCCAAUAGCGUAUAUUAAAGUUGCUGCAGUUAAAAAGCUCGUAGUUGAAUUUCGGGACCAAUAUGUCGGUCGUGCUUUUGUACGUACUGAUAUAAUUGGUUUCUCCCUUCUGAAGAACCUUGAUGUCAUUAAUUUGGUGUCUUGGGGAAUCAGGACUGUUACUUUGAAAAAAUUAGAGUGUUUAAAGCAGGCUCGCGCUUGAAUACAUUAGCAUGGAAUAAUGAAAUAGGACGUUUGAUUCUAUUUUGUUGGUUUCUAGGAUCGACGUAAUGAUUAAUAGGGAUAGUUGGGGGCAUUAGUAUUCAAUUGUCAGAGGUGAAAUUCUUGGAUUUAUUGAAGACUAACUACUGCGAAAGCAUUUGCCAAGGAUGUUUUCAUUAAUCAAGAACGAAAGUUAGGGGAUCGAAGACGAUCAGAUACCGUCGUAGUCUUAACCAUAAACUAUGCCGACUAGGGAUCGGA
This 483-nucleotide ribosomal RNA is filed under the name uncultured Glomus. RNAcentral's name for it is "SSU rRNA". It matches the Rfam family "Eukaryotic small subunit ribosomal RNA", at positions 569 to 1057 of the family's 1831-position model. The record is from RNAcentral. Lineage: Eukaryota; Fungi; Glomeromycota; Glomeromycetes; Glomerales; Glomeraceae.